This 58-nucleotide transfer RNA is filed under the name Ornithodoros waterbergensis. Its description in RNAcentral is "tRNA-Arg". The record is from RNAcentral. Lineage: Eukaryota; Metazoa; Arthropoda; Arachnida; Ixodida; Argasidae.
AAGAAUGAAGCAAUUAUGCACUCAGUUUCGACCUGAACGAAUGGUUCACCCAUUCUUA